ACAAUGAAGAGUUUGAUCCUGGCUCAGGAUGAACGCUAGCGACAGGCCUAACACAUGCAAGUCGAGGGGCAGCGAGCCGUAGCAAUACGGUGUCGGCGACCGGCGAAUGGGUGAGUAACGCG
Molecule: ribosomal RNA, 122 nt
Filed under: Paludibacteraceae bacterium
Lineage: Bacteria; Pseudomonadati; Bacteroidota; Bacteroidia; Bacteroidales; Paludibacteraceae
Description: partial 16S ribosomal RNA
Rfam family: Bacterial small subunit ribosomal RNA
Source: RNAcentral